This 253-nucleotide ribosomal RNA is filed under the name uncultured bacterium. RNAcentral's name for it is "partial 16S ribosomal RNA". It matches the Rfam family "Bacterial small subunit ribosomal RNA", at positions 524 to 776 of the family's 1533-position model. The record is from RNAcentral.
UACGUAGGGGGCAAGCGUUGUCCGGAUUUAUUGGGCGUAAAGAGCGUGUAGGCGGUUAGGUAGGUCCGUUGUGAAAACUCGAGGCUCAACCUCGAGACGCCGAUGGAAACCAUCUGACUAGAGUCCGGAAGAGGAGAGUGGAAUUCCUGGUGUAGCGGUGAAAUGCGCAGAUAUCAGGAAGAACACCCGUGGCGAAGGCGGCUCUCUGGGACGGUACUGACGCUGAGACGCGAAAGCGUGGGGAGCAAACAGG